ACUGAAUUGGGUCAUUUCUAUGUUCUUUUUGAUUCCUUCUAGUUUGUUUCAUACACUGGCCUGUGUUGACUUUUCUUUGAGUUCUGUGCUGUUGUCCCUGAAUGGUGGGGUCCUCAGAUGUACUAUCCAUAUUGUAUUCCGGUGCGGGAACAUUUUCCCCAACUGCAAAGGAUUGGGCACCUCUACUAACCAGUUUAUACGUGGGACGCCUACCACAGCAUGGCUGCCAAGCAGUGCCAUGUCCGCACCCAGGAUCCGAACCAGCGAACCCCGGGCCGCCGAGAAGCGGAACGUGCGAACUUUACCGCUGCGCCACCGGGCUGGCCCCGACACAGGAACAAUUUUAAUGGAUGAUGACAUCUUGAAGGAGAUUAACGUGUUUGUAGCCAGAAUGCAAUGACAGAGCCAGUAGGGCUGGCUGUGUGGCAGGAAGUAUAGGUGAGACUGGGAGGCUGCAGGAACAGAUUGCAGACUGAAGGCUGCCUGUGAGGGGAAAAGCUGGAAGGGAGUGGACACCGCAGAAAGGAG
Molecule: long non-coding RNA, 528 nt
Filed under: Equus caballus (horse)
Lineage: Eukaryota; Metazoa; Chordata; Mammalia; Perissodactyla; Equidae
Description: lncRNA (ENSECAG00000035515.3)
Source: RNAcentral